Molecule: non-coding RNA, 30 nt
Filed under: Rattus norvegicus (Norway rat)
Lineage: Eukaryota; Metazoa; Chordata; Mammalia; Rodentia; Muridae
Source: RNAcentral
UGGCCUGAUGCCCAUUCAUACGCAGCUUCU